This is a long non-coding RNA of Megalops cyprinoides (Indo-Pacific tarpon), 641 nucleotides long. RefSeq lists it as uncharacterized. The transcript is spliced from 3 exons. NCBI's taxonomy places the organism in Eukaryota, Metazoa, Chordata, Actinopteri, Elopiformes, Megalopidae. The record is from RefSeq and is a predicted model, not a curated record.
GAUGGCCACGAAAAUUGCUCUAAUGACGGCUCUCGGGGCAGGCUGCAGCCUGGCUGCAGUGCCCCUUAUUCUCGGAGGAAUUGGUUUCACUGCAGCUGGCAUUGCUGCCGGUUCCUACGCGGCCGGUAUGAUGUCGGCAGCGGCAACGGCCAACGGUGGUGCUGUCGCGGCCGGCAAUAUACCACACUAGUACUCACAAUAAUCCCUGACGACUGUGCUUGCCGCCAUGGCAAUUUAAAAUACCUGAGGUGCACACCUUCGUGCACCUGUGACCCUGACGUCAUAUGACCCAUAACCCCUACUCUCGUGCAUCCUUUAAAUGACGUCAUGUGACAUACAUAUAACACUACCAUGAACAAGUAAAAAAAAGAACAAAAGGUUAAAAGAAAAAAGCAAAGGACCCCAGCCUAUGCAAGCCCACAGCGGGGACAAAGUGAGCCUCUCUUCUGUUCUGCAGCCACACCUGUACUUAAUCUGCCUUCCAAUUAGUGAAGUGUGGCUUGUUCCUUUACAAAUUGCCAACAGGUGAACACAAUUGACAGUGAGUGAUUAACAAUUGACAAUUAGCACUUAGGGAGAGGUGGUGAAGGCUCAUAUAAAUGGGUGCAGUUUGUGUAUACUGGUUAACGCGUGUGUUGUUA